This 2933-nucleotide long non-coding RNA is filed under the name Solanum tuberosum (potato). RNAcentral's name for it is "long non-coding RNA (STUB_LNC011401)". Lineage: Eukaryota; Viridiplantae; Streptophyta; Magnoliopsida; Solanales; Solanaceae. The record is from RNAcentral.
CGUCCUAUAUAUUGAUUUUCAUAUUAGUGAGUAAGUAGUACAAUGUCAUUGCAAUGAAGAAGUUGAUAAUAUUAUUGCAUAUAUGUAAGAAAGCAAAUGCAUCUGCUUUGUGUAUUACACAAAUUUCAACUUAUGCUCAUAUGAUAAUUCUCUUUUCGAACUUAAAAGGCUUCUCUAGAGAAAAUUGAGAGACAUGUUCUUCAAAUUGAUCACAAUAGCCAUGUUGCCAUUAAGAUUAGCCACCAAAAUGCUGUAGAAAACAUGACCAAGUGCCUCCACAUGAUUUUAUUGGAAUUGUUGAUUUUAAAAAUCCAAUUUAAAAACAAAACAUUGCUAUGUAAUCAUGAAAACCAAAGAAUUGAAAAAUAACAUCAAAUUUCUUUCCUUCUCUAAGUUCGUUCCUGCAAAACCAGGAAGAAAAAUAAUGUCUUACAUAAAAGAGAGGACACUUUGGCUAAAGCUCUUCAUUUACUGGACUCGGAAAAUUUGCUUACUACCAAAUUUAUUUAUCCCAAAAAUAAAAAGAAAAUACUUUUUGAUAUAGAAGCAUCAUCUAUUGACUACAAAUUUCAAGUAUUUCUUGGGAGUAACAAUGUCACACAAGUAGAUAUGAGAAUUAAGAUGGGCGUCUUCUCCUUAUCAGUUCUAAAAUAUUUCGAGUAGACUCCCUACAUGUGAUUACUUAGGUCAGAUGGUAAGUGUUGAAGCUCCUGUUAGUGUUCGCUCUUUAUCAGAGGUAUCAUGAGACAUAGAUACAAUUCUAAACCUAUUGAUAGAACAUAUAAAUUAUUACCCUGUAUUUUGUUUUUAAUAUAUAACCCGUCUCAUUUCAGCCUUCAAGUACCUUUCUUGUCCAUUUGUUUACCUCAAGUCAGUAACUCCAAAAUGGCAAGAGAACUUUUCAUUGUUAAUGAUAUCUUUGAUAGAGCAUUUUCUACUAACAGCUUGCUCAAACAUGUUGGUCACUUUCCAUGUUAAUGCAGUGAGCCUCAAGUCCAUUUCUCGUGAUUAUAGAUGCUAGAAUAACUAUAAUAUUCAGACGUUGAAGAGUCUAAAGACAUCUCGGAAGCAUUUGACAAAGAAGGGUUAUCCUCAUCCUAGAGAGAAAUCAGUAAGCAUGUUAACUUCAAGUCAUAUGUAUAAUAAGUAAUUACCGAGAAAUAAAAAAUGAUUCAGAAACAAUGAAUUACAUCAAGUGACUAAUAUGCUCUGCCUAUUAAAUUUGUAAGAUUUAAGCUCUAUCUGGUACACUAACUUUAAACUUUAAGUUACGGGACUUAGCACACAGGACCUUUGUUUGUUAUAGGGGAACCAUCUCUAUUAGUCAAGCUUGACAGUCACUACCUAACGUUUUUGGUAAAUAAAAAUUCAAUAUGUCCGAGAAUGAAAAUGAGGACAUAUUCAGCAGAAAGUUUGAAAGUUUAUUGAACCAAAAUAAAUGAUAACCCAAUUACUGCUUAAGGAUAGGGCAUACUUCAGGAAAGGUUGAGAGAAAUAGAAAACCUGAACUCCACAUGAAGUCCCAUUUCAUUAAAAUUCAUCACAUAUCAAAAGAUAGAGAUCAUGCCAAAUCAUAUUAACUUGUAUUGAUGAAUUGUUUAAGGUAAAUUUAAUAGUAGGCUAUGAUUUUAAACAUCCAAUGCAGAAAAAUACUUUAUAUAUCUGCAGAUAGACAUGAACAUAAUCUAAAGCAAAUACAUACAUAUUACAUAGAGUACAAAAGACAAUUGAUCUCGUGCUUCAAUCAUCUUAGGAAUAUCCUCAUGCUAAAGGGAAGAAAUUAUCACUAACAUGGUGCCUCCAUUAGUUGGAGGCACAAGUUAUUCCUAAGUUUAAAUAUCGAUUCAAAACUAUAAAAGAUACUUUGAACAAGAAAAAGAAAGAAGCAGUAAACCAGUGAAAGUGAAUUACCAACCUGACCAGCAAGUGAGAAUAGCAAGAUUCCCCUUGACCUCCUUGGGGAGUUGGCAGUUGAAUUCAUCAAAAGAAUAAACUGAAAACUUAAAGGAUGACAACACCUUUAAGCUUCAAUCUUCAUAUCAAUGUUUGAUGAGCUAUGAAUAACUAAGGUUGUCUAAAUCGAAAUAAACUCAACUACAUAGUAAUCGUGAAGAAAUAGAGAUUACCUUGCAAUGUAUAAGCAUAAAUCUCAUAUCAUAUUUAAGCCAACAUUCUCACCCUACCUGCAAUCAAAUCAGCCAAAUAAACCAAAAAAAGGAGUGUGUAAUCCAUAUAGUGACCCUAAAUAUCAACUCAACUAAUUAAAAUAAUAAAAUCAAAUUCGAAGAAGUGAAAUAAUUAGCUUUAAGUUGUAGAGCAUCUGUUAAAAGAUCAAAGAAUGCAUAUUAUCAAGCACUUCUCUACUGAUCUAUAUCGCAAGAUCCCAACAUUUACAAGUUAUGCUCUUCUAUAUAAUAAAAAAAAAAAGUUUUAGAUUUUUCAUUUCAGGUGAGAUCUAUAGCACAAGAUCCCAGCAUUUAUUGUGAGGUGAUCAUCGGUGUCAGGUUGUGUUUGAUGUUGUUGAUUCUCUUGGUAUUCCUAAAAUGCAAACUUUAAGUAUUGAUGGUGUUUUAGAUCAAUCCCAUUGUUCGAGGAAAUAUCUCGUUUAGUAAAUGAAGAGUCCAACCUAAUUAUAUUUAACAAUUCUUUCCUAAACUAUUACAAUGGAUCUAAUAAUUCCUUUCUCAGAAGAUGGUCAUAGCUUUCUAGAGCAAUCCUUGGUGACUUAUGUUUGUCAUAGUUAAUUUCAGAUUCUUCAAAAAAAAGAGGUAUAAUUUUUUUAAAAAAAAACAGAGAAGUAUAGGAUUUGACUUUCGUACGAUGAAACAUUUAUCCAUACUGCAUAAAGGAAGAACUGCAAUCUUUCAUUUAAGAGCAAUUCUUAGGGGUGCAGUCCUGAGUCACAAACUACUACAUUCAUAUUCACCUCAUUU